CGGACGGGUGAGUAAUGCCUAGGAAUCUGCCUGGUAGUGGGGGAUAACGUUCCGAAAGGAAACGCUAAUACCGCAUACGUCCUACGGGAGAAAGCAGGGGACCUUCGGGCCUUGCGCUAUCAGAUGAGCCUAGGUCGGAUUAGCUAGUUGGUGAGGUAAUGGCUCACCAAGGCGACGAUCCGUAACUGGUCUGAGAGGAUGAUCAGUCACACUGGAACUGAGACACGGUCCAG
Molecule: ribosomal RNA, 233 nt
Filed under: uncultured bacterium
Lineage: Bacteria
Description: partial 16S ribosomal RNA
Rfam family: Bacterial small subunit ribosomal RNA
Source: RNAcentral